Molecule: ribosomal RNA, 312 nt
Filed under: Bradybaena similaris
Lineage: Eukaryota; Metazoa; Mollusca; Gastropoda; Stylommatophora; Camaenidae
Description: partial 16S ribosomal RNA
Rfam family: Bacterial large subunit ribosomal RNA
Source: RNAcentral
AUAGUGCUUUCUGCACAAUGUAAAUUGCCGCAGUACCCUGACUGUGCUAAGGUAGCAUAAUCAUUUGGCUUAUAAUUGAAGUCUAGUAUGAACGAAUUAUGGGGGUAGCUGUUUCAACAAGUGUUCUAAUUUGCCUGGGGGGUGAAAAUGCCCUCCAUAGUAAAAGACGAGAAGACCCUUGAAAUUUUGAGUUUUGUUGGGGCGACAAAGUAGUACUAUGGGCAACGUUUAGGUGGAAAUUAAAUUACUCUAGGGAUAACAGCAUAAUAUUUGAAGUUUGUGACCUCGAUGUUGGACUAGGAAAAGUUAAGA